Molecule: ribosomal RNA, 322 nt
Filed under: uncultured eukaryote
Lineage: Eukaryota
Description: partial 18S ribosomal RNA
Rfam family: Eukaryotic small subunit ribosomal RNA
Source: RNAcentral
CCCUUAGAUGUUCUGGGCCGCACGCGUGCUACACUGAGUAAAUCAAUGGGUAAGGGAACACGAAAGUGCAACCUAAUCUUGAAAUUUGCUCGUGAUGGGGAUCGACGGUUGCAAUUUUCCGUCGUGAACGAGGAAUACCUUGUAGGCGCGUGUCAUCAUCACGCGCCGAAUACGUCCCUGCCCUUUGUACACACCGCCCGUCGCUCCUACCGAUUGAGUGAUCCGGUGAGGCUCUGGGACCUGGACGGAAAGAGCGUUUCGCUUGUUCUGUUUGGGAAACUUGGUCGAACCUUAUCAUUGAGAGGAAGGAGAAGUCGUAACA